UACAGAGGGUGCAAGCGUUAAUCGGAGUUACUGGGCGUAAAGGGCGCGUAGGCGGUUAUAUUUGUGUGAUGUGAAAGCCCCGGGCUUAACCUGGGAAGUGCAUCGCAAACGGUAUGACUGGAGUAUAUGAGAGGGUGGCGGAAUUUCCGGUGUAGCGGUGAAAUGCGUAGAGAUCGGAAGGAACGUCAAUGGCGAAGGCAGCCACCUGGCAUAAUACUGACGCUGAGGCGCGAAAGCGUGGGGAGCGAACAGG
RNAcentral lists this ribosomal RNA (253 nucleotides) under uncultured bacterium. Its description in RNAcentral is "partial 16S ribosomal RNA". It matches the Rfam family "Bacterial small subunit ribosomal RNA", at positions 524 to 776 of the family's 1533-position model. The record is from RNAcentral.